This 272-nucleotide small RNA is filed under the name human gut metagenome. RNAcentral describes it as "5' ureB small RNA". It matches the Rfam family "5' ureB small RNA". The record is from RNAcentral.
CUGUUGCGGACAUAUAAAGUGAACAUGACUGUCAAUACCUCCGGCGGUGACAAUCAGCCCUUCUCCGGCUAUAACUUCGGUUCCGGCACCGAUACUGAAAUCAACAUUAUUUUGAAUGGCCGGGUUUCCUGCUUUACCAAUGGCGGCAAUGCGUCCGUCCUUAAUACCGAUAUCUGCCUUGUAUAUGCCGGUGUAAUCUACAAUGACCGCAUUAGUAAUUACCGUAUCAACGGUUUUGCUGCAGCAAUGCUGACUUUGACCCUGACCGUCGC